GAGUUUGAUCCUGGCUCAGAACGAACGUUGGCGGCGUGGAUUAGGCAUGCAAGUCGCGCGUGAAAGUACCUUCGGGUGCGAGUAAAGCGGCGGACGGGUGAGUAACACGUAAUCAAGCUGCCCUCGAGAUCGGGAUAACCACGGGAAACCGGGGCUAAUACCGAAUGGACCUCUGUGUCGCAUGGCACGGUUGGUAAAGGCGGGGAUCCUUCGGGACCUGCUGCUCGGGGAGGCGGUUGCGGCCUAUCAGCUAGUUGGUGAGGUAACGGCUCACCAAGGCAGCGACGGGUAGCAGGCCUGAGAGGGUGGUCUGUCACACUGGGACUGAGACACUGCCCAGACUCCUACGGGAGGCUGCAGUCGAGAAUCUUCCGCAAUGGGCGAAAGCCUGACGGAGCGACGCCGCGUGGAGGACGAAGGCCCUUGGGUUGUAAACUCCUGUCACGAGUUAUGAAAGCGCGUAACCUAAUACGUUGCGUGUUGACGUAAGCUCGAGAGGAAGCACCGGCUAACUCUGUGCCAGCAGC
RNAcentral lists this ribosomal RNA (527 nucleotides) under uncultured Planctomycetota bacterium. RNAcentral's name for it is "bacterial SSU rRNA". It matches the Rfam family "Bacterial small subunit ribosomal RNA", at positions 9 to 515 of the family's 1533-position model. Lineage: Bacteria; Pseudomonadati; Planctomycetota. The record is from RNAcentral.